CCUUCGACGUUAGCGGCGGACGGGUGAGUAACACGUGGGUAACCUACCUAUAAGACUGGGAUAACUUCGGGAAACCGGAGCUAAUACCGGAUAAUAUUUCGAACCGCAUGGUUCGAUAGUGAAAGGUGGUUUUGCUAUCACUUAUAGAUGGACCUGCGCCGUAUUAGCUAGUUGGUAAGGUAACGGCUUACCAAGGCGACGAUACGUAGCCGACCUGAGAGGGUGAUCGGCCACACUGGAACUGAGACACGGUCCAGACUCCUACGGGAGGCAGCAGGA
This 279-nucleotide ribosomal RNA is filed under the name uncultured Staphylococcus sp. RNAcentral's name for it is "partial 16S ribosomal RNA". It matches the Rfam family "Bacterial small subunit ribosomal RNA", at positions 83 to 354 of the family's 1533-position model. Lineage: Bacteria; Bacillati; Bacillota; Bacilli; Caryophanales; Staphylococcaceae. The record is from RNAcentral.